Molecule: long non-coding RNA, 7418 nt
Filed under: Homo sapiens (human)
Lineage: Eukaryota; Metazoa; Chordata; Mammalia; Primates; Hominidae
Description: long non-coding RNA NONHSAT202959.1
Source: RNAcentral
GAUUUGUUGAGAGCUCAUUCAUAUCCUCUAAUGUGAACUUCUUUAUAACCAAUUUUAAUGAACUAUGCAGUAGAAUCUGAUGUGAGUAUCAAAAGGAACAGAGAAGUUAUACUUCAGUGUAGGAAGAGAGAAUGUCAGCCCACUGCCUUAACUCAGUUGGCAUUUUGAAGAAAAUUGACAGAGCCCACCUCCAGAUUUUAUUGGGGUGGGGGAAAGAAGAGAAAAUGGAAGAUAUGUUUUAAACCACUUUUGGCAGGAAAAGUCAUUUCCCUAUUUAGAGUCUGGAAUAAAAAUGUAGUUCCCAUUAAGUAAUUUUUACUUACUUCUGUAUAACCCAAUUAAACACCCCUCAUAUUCCCACUCUCCUGCAGUAACUCAGAUACGACUUAAUCCAAUGUCAUGUGGGCACCGUGCUUCUACGUUUUCGUCUUAACUUUCUAAAUUCCCAAAUUCUUCAUCUCACUAGCUUCAAGUGAAUUUUUCAGUGGGAAAGUACUCUGAAUAAUAUGUAAUAUUUCUUGUGUGUUGCCUUUGUGACAACUUGUUCUAAGCACUUUAUGUGUAUUACUUAUAUUACUAUAACUUCUAUACUAUAAGUUAUUACUAUAACUUCUAUUGUUGGUAUCAUUGUUAUUCUCAUUUAAAGAUGUUUCAGUAGAGGCACAGAAAAGCUGAAUAACUUUUAUUGCUGGUAAGUGUAGGGCCUGAAUUUGAAUCCAGGCAUCUUGCUCUAGAGCCCUAACAUUUUCCAAUCUCAUUAUAAACUGCCUAUAAAAGAAACUUGCUUUUCCAUUCCAGGUUGACAGGCAGGGUGGCAACACAUAUAAAAAGCAUCUUAGGUUCCACUAGUCAAUCUCUUUUUGGAGUAGCUUCCACUGGAAUUCUAUAGGUGUUGAUUCAUUUUUACAUAACCAAUGUCUGUAAACCUGAAGAUCAAAUUCUUAUGGUAGGAAAUAAGACAGUUUUAAAGAUCAAAUUUCCAAGUUCAGGGACCAUGAAAUGUCAAUUGAAAACCAGGAGUAAUGAGCUGUAAAGAUAAAUCAAUACAUGGAAAGACAGGAUGAGUAUUUUAAGCAGCUGAAAUAACUUGUACUUACACAAAAAGGAAGAAAAUAUCUGACCACAUCAGACUGUAUUUUCCUGAGAUCGCUGCAAAAAUCUCUCUCAUUCCACCAGCUCUACUACCAUAAGUUUGGAAAAUAUAAUCUGCCACAUUGACCUAAAUGUUAAAAAAUAAGCAAUAAUUACCAAGUUCCUUACAUCUCCCUUCAUAGGAAAAACUCGGAGUUUAUAAAUUUCAGAAGCUUAACACCCAUAUUGUAAAAUUUCCCUUUCAUAUUAUUGAUGUUGCCAGCACCCUCUUAAUGCCAUUUCUUUUGCUGUGCCAAUUAUUUUUCAAUGACAGUGACAUAAGAAGUAAUGUGCCAUCUGCAUGGCCUUUUACUGCAUUAUGUUCUCCUAGGAUAGUCUUCUAGGGCCUUUGUGACUCCUGCUUCCUGGGAGCCAUUCUAGACUCUUCUCUGAGUGCCAUGCUUCUUCCCCAGCAUCCUACUUCUCCAGCCCCCCUACCAUUCUAGCUGUGUGGGCUACCCCAUCCUGCUAACUGGAAGAUGGAUUUCUAUUAUCAAACAUAAUUUAUUUCAAGGAAGAUAGGGUACCAUUUAGAAACCUAUCUUUUUGGUUAUACUGCAAAUCUCAAUUUGUUGUCUAUUAACUGCCAGGAGUAUACUCAUACUGCAAAUCUCAAUUUGUUGUCUAUUAACUGCCAGGAGUAUACUCAUCUCUCUAAAAGGUUAUUAUUGGGGAAAGGGGUCUUUCCUCUUCAGGUCCACACAGCAGCAGCUCUCUAAUGAAGUUUUGAAAUAUGAGCUGUGAAGGAGCCAGAGGCAGUGAUGGUGCUUUACUGGCCAGCAGUUGUUAGUUUCUCAGUGGUCUAAAGGGAAAUAUCCAAAAACCAACCUGACUUAUGGAGAACUGUGAGAAAAAUACUCUUAACACUUUAAGGUGGCAAUGCCAACAUUCAAUGGCCUCUCCCUCCCCUUUGAGGAAGCUUCCUGGCGCCAGGGUGACAGAAUGAGAUGUAUGAGGUCUGGUUUAGAUGUCUUCCAAGCUGGCCUUUUGUCUGCUAUCCCAGCAUCACAAAAAUAACUUAGGGUGAGAAAUUUACAGGCCAGCAUGUAAAUUCCCUCAUUACUUUAUUAAAUAGUUUGAAAGGAACAUGAUUAAGAAAUUAAAUUCAAUCGAAUGUUACUGUAACUGGUUUUUCAUGAUAAGCGUUUUUCUUAAUGUUAACAGAAGGCUGAUCCUUUGUGUGGAUUGAAUUGUGCCCCCUAUAAGACAUGUCCAAUUGCUAACCCCCAGCACCAGUGAAUGUGAGCUUAUUUGAAAAUAAGGGUUUUGCAGAAAUACUCAAGUUAGCAUGAGGUCAUACUGGAUUAGAAUGGGCCCUAAAUCCAGUGACUGGUGCCCUUAUAACACAAGGAGAGAACACAGAAAGACAUACACAAAAGGCACAUGGAAAUUGGAGUGAUGCAGCUAUAAGCCAAGCAAGGCCAAGGACUAUGAGCAACCCCAGAAACUACACAGAGUUAGGGGAAGGAUUCUUCUAGAGCUUUCAGAGGAGCAUACCCCUGCCAACACCUUGAUUUUGGACUUCUUUUAGUCUCUAGAACAGUGAGGGACUAUAUUUCUGUUGUCAUAAGCCAUCCAGUUUGUGGCAAUUGUUACAGCAGCCCAAAGAAACUAAUGCAGCCCUAUAUAUGAAAAAUAUGGUAAUAACCUUACAUUUUUUUUCAAGGAGAAAUAAAUAUAGUAGCUUAGAACACAGAUUCUGAAACCAAACUUACUGGGUUUAAAUCCCAUCUCUGCCAGUUACUAGCUAUAUGAAAUUGAGCAACUUAACCUCUCUCUUUCUCAAUUCCUUCAUCUUUAAGUGGGGAUAAUAAAAGCGUAUAGAUUAUAGGGUUGUUAUGAGUAUUUUAAAAGUUAAUAUUUGUAUAGAACUUAGAACAGGACCCUGCACAUAUUAAAUGCUAUAUAAGUGCAUAAGUGCUUUUUCAUUUGGUAGGGUCUUUCCAAUAUAUUCCCUCAUAGCCACCCCUGAAAAAUGUUUUUCCACCACAAAAUCUUACCUUUGUUUGCCUAUUACCCCUUCGGUAAUUUCUCUUAACAUUAAACUCUAUCAAACUUAGAGUUAACUAAUCUUGAAACAAAUUUAUGACAUGUUCCUGCUAUUUAAUUAUUGCAAAAAAUAAGCAGAAAUGUAUUUAUUUGUUGAGUGUUUAUCAAGCAUCUACUGCACACCAAUUUUUGUGUUUGAAAAAAAUAAAUUCAUACUCUAUAAUAAUAGAGUCUAUAGUCUAGUGGAAAUAUUGAAUGUUGGAGUAAUUCACUAUAUACAUUCUCCUUUGAUAUGAAUACUUACUUGAAUUACUGGAAGCAGAAACAUUAAAAUUUAUAGAAUUCAACAUUAUUUGAAACUUUGAUUGCAUUUUGUAUUUGCAAACACGUCUUCCAUCUUUUCACAUCCUACACCUUGCAUUUUGCUACUCCUCAGAUCCUGUUUCAGGAGGAUAUGCCACUCUUAUUUACAGAGAGGAACUGGAGUCUUGGCUUAGACCAAAUGUAAAGGAGUCUCCCCUUAUCUGUGGGGUCACUUUUCUGAGUUUUCACUUACCUGUGGUCAACACAAUCCGAAAAUAGGGAGAACAGUACAACAAGAUAUUUUGAGAGAGAACACAUUUAUAUAACUUUAAUUACAGUACAUUGUUAUAAUUUUCUAUUUUCUUCUUUGAUAUUGUUAAUCUCUUACUGUGCUUAAUUUAUAAAUUAAACCUUAUCAUAUGUAUGUACAUUUAGGGAAAACAUGGUGUAUCUAGGGUUCGGUACUACUUGCAGUUUCAGGCAUCCACUGGAGAUCUUAGAAGGUAUCCCCUGUGGAUAAGGGGGGAUUACUAUACUAUCAUUUCUUAUCAGUUUGAUAUUCAAUGGUUUCUCUUUGAGAUGCUAAAAUGUUAAAUGAGUUUUUGCAUAUUAAUUAAGUCUAGCCACACAAAUCAGAAGAAACUAGGAAUGGGACACAUGGAAAUAGGUGACACCUGCCCCAGCUUUCUAUCUGGUAUAUUCCUUAUUUUUAGAUAUGAAAAUAUCUUUUUUUGUGUCAGGACCACUGAUUAGCAAUGACACAAAAAAUUAGAGCUUUUAGUGAUCACUGAAGUUAUUUCAGUAUGCUUUGACUAAGGAUUUGUGUCCCUCCCCAGUGAAUUUGGGGAGGGAUGGUCCCUUCUGUCCGUUUGUUUAAUACCCCACAUUUCUCUGAGAAGUCCUAUCAUUUUGAUCAUUUCUAAUUUAAACGGAAGGACACCCUUUGUGCAUUCUUUUCUCGUUGCUGUUUCCAACAGCAGUGGUUUAAAUGGGAAGGCUGAGACUAUAGAUUCCACCACAUCACUUGAAAUGCCAACUUGGCAGUAAUCAUUUUAUUCUUUUUAGUUCAGAACAUGUAUUUUAAAAAUGAAUGGGUAUUGACUAGUUAACAACUAGAGAUUUUUUUUCCAGGAAACAAUUUCCUAGACUUUAAACCAAAAUUUGGAGCUCAAGAAACACUAAAGAAGACAGUACUCUAUGUAAAGUAGUUAUUAAUUGGGGUUUCACUGUAGGUCUAUAUGCAAAUCUUAACUUUUAACCAAAAAAUAUAUAACAAUAUAAAGUGCAAAAAGUUUAAGCUUUACACAGAAAAUGUAUGAUACAAAAUCACUUUUAACUUAAAAGGCAGUUUAAAGUUUAUCUGUGAAGAAAGAGAAACAUUUUGUACAUAAAUCCUCCCAGUUUUCAUUGACAAUGAUGGUGUUAUUUAAGCAUCCCUGUAAUUAAAUGUCACUUUAAAAAUAAUGGACGUGUCAGGGUAUCUUUUUAAAUGGAAAAAAAGUAUAUUUUUGUAGUAUUAACAGAAGUAAUACUCAACCAAGAUUUCCCAAAUUACAGAAUAAAAUUAAUAUCUUCUUUUUUUCCCCCAGCAGUGAUCUCUUUUCUAUGAUUCCUUUUCUGUGAACAUUCAGGACUAUCUGAACGAAAUGGGACCCCCAUCUCCUGCCACUUCUGGAGAACAAACAACCCACUCAAAACCAUUUACCCAUCAUCACUGUCCAGAUCAUUGCACAGGGUGGGUUUAUAUGAUAUGCCCACUCUGAAAAUGUGGCUAAGUAUUCCAAUCAUAGCUGUUGCCAGUGUUUCCCACCAUUGCUGUAUACUCUUAGUAAAUGGUAGUUGUUAAAAAUAUAAAAUAGGCUUGCUUCAUGAGAAGAAGAAAGUACUUUCUCUUGUAAAGUUCCUUUAAGCAUUGGCAUAGUAAGUGUUCCUUUUCUCAUUGAUACCAUAGUUUUUUUACUGUGUUUUGUUUUGCUUUCUUCAGAUUUUAAAGGAAAAAUAAGGUGAUGUUGCUGAUUUUCAGAAAUAUUUUCAGCUUCAGAUAUCUGUGAUAAAAAUGAGAAAAAAGAAGUGGAUGUUCUGUCAGAAGGUAUUGUCCCAGCUACUUGGAAGGCUGAGGCAAGAGGAUCACUUGAGACGUUCAAGGCUGUAGUGCACCAUGAUUGCCCCUUGUGAAUAGCCACUGAACUCCAGCCUGAGCAACAAAGUGAGACCUCAUCUGUAAACAAACAAACAAAACUGCUCCUGAAUUUCAAUGUCAAUUUAUUGUAGAAAUCUUAAAAACUUAAUCCUCCUAAAAUAAUGCUGUUUUUAGGGGCAACACAUAAUUGUGUACAAUUUCAUGUUUCUUUUGAAGUGAUAAUUAAAAAUAAUUGAAACAGUUAUUAAAGAAUAAAGACAUUGUGACAAAGAAAUGACCGGGAACCACAUAAAGCAAGAUAUUUUGUACUUUCAAAUAAUGCUGAUUUUUAGGGCUAACAAGUUUCAGUAGUAGCUUAAUAAAUAUACAUUAAGAAAUGCCCUUUCUGAAUUCCAUUUUAUGAUGUUCAAGUACAAAAAAUAUUCAUCCAUUGCGACUUUGAACUGUGAAAUGGUCAAUGAAGAGGUGAGCGGCACUUAACUUGAAGCUAAUGUCUCAUCGAAUUGUUCGAACUUCACUCCUUGGUCAUAAGGUUUUCCAGAUCCAGAGCAAGGUAGCCAUAUGGCAUUGAUAUUCGAAAUACAAAGCCAAGUAUCGGUUUUAAAAACAGUAUUAUUGAUUUUUUUCUUCUUUUCCAAUUUUCUCUUUUUGAAAUUGUGCUGCUACAAAUUUGAAUUUUAAAAUGUCUUAUUUUUCAAAUUUGUAUUGUUUCAUCUAUUGAAUGGUUUUUACUUUAAGGAAGUUCAGAAAGUUUUUAUGUUCUCAGCCAUUCUUUUUUAUAGAAAAUAUCUUAAAAACUGAAAAGCCUCUGAAAGGCUCAGGUGAACGAAAAUAGAAAAAAAAGUAUCUAUCUCACUCUUCUUUUUAAUUCCUCUUUAAUGCUUCCCUUACAAAUAUAUUGGAAAGAAAACUAUUUAGGUGGUACAAGGCUUCUCCCUGGUUUCAUUUUUCUUGCUCGUAUAUACAAUUAAUUAUUUGUGGCAGCAUUAUUUUUACUUUGGAGCCCUGAUUUCCCACAAUUAUUGGUCUGAUGGAGCUCAGACCUGUGUUUCAGAGUUAAAUACUCUUCCAAGAAUUUCCACAUUAUAAAACUCCCCAACCAGCACUAAACUGUACACAUAAAAAUUGUAAAAAUGGUAAAUUAUAUAUGCAUAUUGUACCUUACAAUUUUUUUUAUAAAAAAUAAAGAUUUUUUUAAAAAAAACAAACAAAUACCUCCUGCCCCACAAAAAAAAUUUCUCACCCCAUCCAAGUACCAGUCACUAGACUCUAACAAACAGUUCGGAAUUCAACUGGUGUCCAAAAGGUUAACAACAUUACCAAGGUGAAGGAACCAAAUCGGUAUCAUACACUGGAGCCAUGGGGAAGCUUUUGGAACUAGGAUUUCUGAGAACUUUUUACCAUAUACAGCAGGGAAAUCUUUGUAAAAAGGAGGAAAUUGGUAUAGUAUAUUCUGCUGCUGGCACGAAACGUGUUUUUACCAAACUAAAGUAUCCUGUAGUUCAAAAAUGUUAUCACAAGAUUCCAUUUGUGUAUCUAUUUAAAGUUUUGGUAUAUUUUCAAUAAAAAUUAAUAAAAAUAUUUCUUCUCAUAAUAUGUGGUUUAAAUCCAGAUUAUUUCACAAUAUGUGGUUUAAAUCCAGAUUAUUUCACUGUAAUAUGUCUUGAUAGAGUUUUAGAAUAUUGAAAUAGGGUAUUAAGAUGCUUUAAAUCGAUUACUGAUUUGAACAUUGUAAGUGUAUAUUUCUAUUUGUGUGUGUGUGUCAUAUUCAAAUAUGAUUAAUCAUGUAUGUUGGUGUGUGAACAUAUGCAUAUAUAAAGCAUUUUUAUCAGCUGUUUCUGGCUUCAUACCACAG